CCACAGCUCUCGUGUGCGAGUGUGAUCGUCUUCAAUCGGCGCCGGAGAAGAAUGUUGCAGUUCUCGAUUCGGCGAGUGAAGAAAUUGAGUGUUCUGAGGCCUCAGAUCUUUGCUCUUGGAAAUUCUCGUUUCUCCACCUCUACUGAACCGUCUUCCUAGCCUAAUCCUCCGCGCAUACUUGUUUCAUCUAGCGUUGUUACGAAAGGCUGAUAUAUACUUCAUUUACGCAAGCCUUCUCAAUCCUCAGCAUUCAUAGAUGUCAUAAACCUAGUGAGUUACCAGCUCAUUUUACGCACUCUUUUCUAUUUCAGAUUUGAGAAAGUUAAGUUCCUUUAGGUACGGGUACGAAAAUGUGCUUUUGUUUACAGGCAAGGAAGUUGUUUCUCAAGUUCCAUUGACCACAAAUGAGGAAUUUAAAGCUGCAGUAUCUGCAGCAACGCAGGCAUUUCCUGCUUGGCGUAAUACUCCAGUUACAACUUGCCAACGAAUUAUGCUCAAGCUUCAAGAACUCGUUAGGCGAGAUAUCGUAAGUUCGUUUUUCAGUAAAAGGAAUAUUCCAAAUCACUUCAAAAGUGGAUCCCCCCCUCUCAUUUCAGGACACACUUUCUCUAAAUAUUACAACAGAACAAGGAAAGACAUUAAAGGAUGCACAUGGAGAUGUAUUCCGUGGGCUAGGUUAUAAUCCUUUAGUUCCUUCCUCUUCCUGUAUAUGUUUGUGAUUAUGUGAUGGGAAAAAUCGUUUUAUUAUAUGGCCUGAGCUGAAUGUUCGAUAGAGGUUGUGGAACAUGCAUGUUGAAUGGCAUCGCUACAAAGGGGGUAGUAUGUCUCUAAUGUGUCACAUGGAAUUGAUACCUGCAGCAUCAUAGAGCCUCUUGGUGUUUGUGCUGGGAUUUGUCCAGUCAAUUUUCCUGCCAUGAUCUCCCUAUGGGUUAGCCUGUUAUUCUUCACUGUCAUUCCAAUGGUUAUAAUUUCAGCAGUAAAGAAUUAGUUUGAUUUCUCAAAGGCUGGAGUACGCCGUUAUCUACUUCUUUUGUGGUGUAAAAGACUUGCUGCUAUGAAAGAUUUUUAUCCCCCAAAAAUUAAUUUAUUAACUUCAUUCCAUACCGAUAUUAUCCCUCCAAUUAGCUUUUCUUUUUCUUAUGAUAAUAGACUGACAGUGGCAAUAGUUGUGCAAUGGGAUAAUCCUCUGCAGAUAUUCUCAAUUGCUGUUACAUGUGGGAAUACCUUUAUUUUGAAGCCUUCAGAAAAAGAUCGAGGAUGUUGUUAAUGCCAUUUGUGAUGAUGAGGAUAUAAAGGCAAAAUAUCAUUCGUCGGUUCAAACAUUGUAAGCUAUCUUUACUGAAAUAACUUUUACUUCAUGGAGUUGGCAAUCUCAAUACAUUCUAGGUUAAUUUCUACAAGUGGUUCUUGUUGCAACUUACUAAAAUUCUAUUAUAGGAUAGGGCCCUUUCCACUUUUUGUUUUUAGAAUCUAGAACUGAUAGUUUAGAUAUUUGUUCAUGUGGCCAUUGGAGUGUUACAAGUUAUUUAAUUGGUGAAACAUCGUCUUACAUUGGGACCUUGGCGUUCUUUACUUGGUCUACCAUUAGUACAAAGUGAUUUAAGUUUAGCUUUGAGGUUUUAUUAUUGCAGAUGAUUGGUUUCAAUAUUAAGUUUAUUUUCCACACUCAUAUAUUUGGCCUCAAGUUUAUCCUAUAAUUGUUUUGCCAUGGUCACCUUUAUAAAUGGAUACUUAUGAUCCUUGCCAAGAUAGGACUGAAUAAUUCGGCAAGUUUGUUGAUUUACUUUCCUUCAUUCUGCGUCUGUCAUGUCUUCGGCCAUCGCCUCUUCGAGAUAAACAUCAAGGUCUUGCCUGACCAACAAAUCACUAACUUCGCCUUGCCAAACACCAAAAUUAUUGGUUACAUCAAUUUUUUCUACUUUGAGAUUAGAGCUCAAAAUUCUUGAUGCACGCGAGUAUCAGAUGACUUUGCCAUUUGUAACAAGUUUCUCUACCAAAAGAAUAAUCCGAAUGAAAGUAGAAAAAAAUUCUUGAAAAAAUGAUUUCCAAGAAAAUAAGCACACUUGCAAUGAGAAACUUGUCUUUGAUAAUCGAUGGUGAGUGUGAGCUAUUCUCGUGGUCGAUGAAGUUGAAUUUUUCAGAAUACCCCAAAUGCCACAACUAAAAUGCUCUGAUACCAAUUGUUGUAAUGGAAGCGAAAACAAGAUCAAUCGCACUCACACACCCACAAACAGAAAUUAAACAAAGAGCACAAAGAUUUAUGUGGUUUGGAGAAAAGAAAUUCUCCUACAUCCACGAGUAGUAACCAAUCUCAAUAAUCUAAGUGUUUACGAAGUGUAUAUCUCACACUAUCAAGUCUCCCACCAAAAUUCUCCCAAAUGUCACUCAACAAACACAAAAUGAUAUUCAAACUCAAUCAAACUUAAUACAUCUCAACCAUUCUAGAUAACCCUUUAUAUAAACAUAGAAGCAUUAGUGUCAUACAUGAAUCACGAUGAUUCAUGUAUCAAAAUGGAAGAUGAACCAAAAAAAUGCCGCAUAAGAGAUGCAUUAACCUAUUCUUCAUGACAACUUACA
Molecule: long non-coding RNA, 2577 nt
Organism: Cucurbita maxima (winter squash)
Lineage: Eukaryota; Viridiplantae; Streptophyta; Magnoliopsida; Cucurbitales; Cucurbitaceae
Exons: 4
Source: RefSeq, a predicted model, not a curated record